GUGGUUCAGGUAGCUCAGCUGGUUAGAGCAAAGGACUGAAAAUCCUUGUGUCAGUGGUUCGAAUCCACUUCUAAGCGG
Molecule: transfer RNA, 78 nt
Filed under: Helianthus annuus (common sunflower)
Lineage: Eukaryota; Viridiplantae; Streptophyta; Magnoliopsida; Asterales; Asteraceae
Description: tRNA-Phe
Rfam family: tRNA
About the family: Transfer RNA (tRNA) molecules are approximately 80 nucleotides in length. Their secondary structure includes four short double-helical elements and three loops (D, anti-codon, and T loops).
Source: RNAcentral